UCUUUAUCCAGAGUGGUGGAGGGAAACGGCCCUGCGAAACCACGGCAACCGGUCGGUUGAAAAAUCGGCGCCUGGUGCCAAUUCCUGCCCAGUGGAAAUUUUCCAGGGGACAGAUGAGGA
RNAcentral lists this non-coding RNA (120 nucleotides) under Malonomonas rubra. RNAcentral's name for it is "SAM-I sequence". It matches the Rfam family "SAM riboswitch aptamer (S box leader)". Rfam says of the family: The SAM riboswitch is found upstream of a number of genes which code for proteins involved in methionine or cysteine biosynthesis in Gram-positive bacteria. The SAM riboswitch acts at the level of transcription termination control. The record is from RNAcentral. RNAcentral also lists the same sequence under 1 other name. Lineage: Bacteria; Pseudomonadati; Thermodesulfobacteriota; Desulfuromonadia; Desulfuromonadales; Geopsychrobacteraceae.